Molecule: ribosomal RNA, 1084 nt
Filed under: uncultured bacterium
Lineage: Bacteria
Description: bacterial SSU rRNA
Rfam family: Bacterial small subunit ribosomal RNA
Source: RNAcentral
AGAGUUUGAUCCUGGCUCAGGACGAACGCUGGCGGCGUGCUUAACACAUGCAAGUCGAACGGUGACGAGAGAGCUUGCUCUCUCUGAUCAGUGGCGAACGGGUGAGUAACACGUGAGUAACCUGCCCCUUACUCUGGGAUAACUUCGGGAAACUGGAGCUAAUACCGGAUACGAGACGCACAGGCAUCUGUAGCGUUUGGAAAGAAUUUCGGUAAGGGAUGGACUCGCGGCCUAUCAGCUUGUUGGUGAGGUAAUGGCUCACCAAGGCGACGACGGGUAGCCGGCCUGAGAGGGCGACCGGCCACACUGGAACUGAGACACGGUCCAGACUCCUACGGGAGGCAGCAGUGGGGAAUAUUGCACAAUGGGCGCAAGCCUGAUGCAGCAACGCCGCGUGGAGGAUGAAGGCCUUCGGGUUGUAAACUCCUUUCAGCAGGGAAGAAGCGAAAGUGACGGUACCUGCAGAAGAAGCGUCGGCUAACUACGUGCCAGCAGCCGCGGUAAUACGUAGGACGCAAGCGUUGUCCGGAAUUAUUGGGCGUAAAGAGCUCGUAGGCGGUUUGUCGCGUCUGCUGUGAAAACCCGAGGCUCAACCUCGGGCCUGCAGUGGGUACGGGCAAACUAGAGUGUGGUAGGGGAGACUGGAAUUCCUGGUGUAGCGGUGGAAUGCGCAGAUAUCAGGAGGAACACCAAUGGCGAAGGCGGGUCUCUGGGCCACAACUGACGCUGAGGAGCGAAAGCGUGGGGAGCGAACAGGAUUAGAUACCCUGGUAGUCCACGCCGUAAACGGUGGGCACUAGAUGUGGGGACCAUUCCAUGGUUUCCGCGUCGCAGCUAACGCAUUAAGUGCCCCGCCUGGGGAGUACGGCCGCAAGGCUAAAACUCAAAGGAAUUGACGGGGGCCCGCACAAGCGGCGGAGCAUGCGGAUUAAUUCGAUGCAACGCGAAGAACCUUACCAAGGCUUGACAUAUGCCGUUUAUCCCUAGAGAUAGGGAGUCCUUCGGGGCGGUAUACAGGUGGUGCAUGGUUGUCGUCAGCUCGUGUCGUGAGAUGUUGGGUUAAGUCCCGCAACGAGCGCAACCC